GGAAUUGCAGAAUAGAUCCAAUCAACUGUUUCUUCCUGAAGGCAAAGAGGUCUUAGGUUUUGGCCCAACGAUGUUACGAAGAGAAUGGUAACUUCUGAACAAAAGUGAAAAUGUUGGCUGAGGCACCCUUGCUGCUCAUCUGGUGAAAGAAUGCAAGUAUAAAGGGUUGCCAGGAAACGGUCUUUGCCUGAAGAUGAGACAACUGGUGGUGGUGGUGGUUCAGCCCCCCCUUGCAAGUGCACUACUGUUCAUGGGGUCAUCCAAGGGAUGGCAGAGACAACUAGGGCCAGACGAAGCUUGCUUUCACCCUAGAAGAGAAGAUCUCUCAGAGUUGGAGAUGGCAAUUUCCAGUCCUAAGAAAUGGAUUCUAACCUGUAGAUCCUACCCGCUCUCGAGGACUCUUGAAGUGCCCUGGUUCUGGCAGUGGGAAGAAGACCCUGUCCACACUAGUCCCCCUCAGUUGCACAGGGGGGGACCCCAGACAAGUUCUCAUGUAGGCAGCGCUUAUUCAGCUUCUCCCCUGAAAACUGGUUCUGAGCCUUGGGGGAAUCCCAGGGGUGAGUUGCCUAUAUUGCUGUCCUUGGGUGUUUGUCUGGGCCCUGGUCAGGGCUCACCCAACGUUAGCCACUUGUGGCUUCCACGGCAUUACGUGAUCCCCUUCCAGUCUCUGCAGCCCCUUUCCAGGGGAGCCUAGCACAACAUGGAGAGAAAAACUUGGUUGUCUUUGCUUGCUUACAGCUCUGCCUGCAGGCCGCCCAUCUCGGCAGUACCGUUUUCUUAAGCAUCAAGGCUUUUCCAGGGGUAAGCAGCCCACCUUUAUUGGCUUUGCAGUGACAGCAUUUAUUUUCAGUCUUGUUUUCAGGGGAAUGUACCUUCAUACAUUCUUCACUGAUGCUCAGAUACGUGUAAGAGCAAAGUGGGAAUCAAGUAAGGCUUCUUUAUCUCGUGAAGCUGCAUUGCAAGCUGCUGAAGCCUUGAGCUUCUUCCAGCAUUGUCUGCAAAGACAGCAGCUUUUGGGGCUGAGUUUAGAGCCUGAGUGAACUCCUGGGGGUCCUUUUCCCCAGGAGCUGUGCACAUGGUGAGUUUUAUGCCAAUACAGUUCCCGUGCUGGCAUCUGGUACCACACUGCCACGUGCUCGUCAGUGGAAGGGGGGAACGGGUGUCAGGCAGCAUUAGUGUUUCCUGCCAUUCAAAGCUGAAGGAGUUUAUUACAGUAUGUGACAGGAGCUGUUCUCGUGUGCCUUUGGUUGCAGAUGUGGCCACAGGUGCUGGCUCUGCAUCUCUUCAGUGGAAUCCUGAUUCUGAGUCUUGGAGAGGUCACCUGGGUACAUUGGCUCUAUAUAUUUCAUGAGGGAGCUGCCAGGCUACACCCAGGAGGUCAACCCAGCCACUCUGCAGGCAUUUCUUAGGAAGCUGUUUAUUGCAGCAUUUCACACUAGCUUUCUU
Molecule: long non-coding RNA, 1446 nt
Filed under: Anser cygnoides (Swan goose)
Lineage: Eukaryota; Metazoa; Chordata; Aves; Anseriformes; Anatidae
Description: lncRNA (ENSACDG00005002067.1)
Source: RNAcentral